CCGGCGCACGGGUGAGUAACGCGUGUGCAACCUGCCCGGCACAGUGGGAUAAUCCGGAGAAAUCCGGUCUAAUACCGCAUGACGCGGGAAGGGCGCAUGCCUUUUCCGCCAAAGGAGGCGACUCCGGUGCCGGCUGGCACGCGUGACAUUAGCUAGUUGGCGGGGCGACGGCCCACCAAGGCGACGAUGUCUAGGGGUUCUGAGAGGAAGGUCCCCCACACUGGUACUGAGACACGGACCAGACUCCUACGGGAGGCAGCAG
RNAcentral lists this ribosomal RNA (262 nucleotides) under uncultured bacterium. RNAcentral describes it as "partial 16S ribosomal RNA". It matches the Rfam family "Bacterial small subunit ribosomal RNA", at positions 95 to 354 of the family's 1533-position model. The record is from RNAcentral.